Molecule: ribosomal RNA, 324 nt
Filed under: Enterococcus faecium
Lineage: Bacteria; Bacillati; Bacillota; Bacilli; Lactobacillales; Enterococcaceae
Description: bacterial SSU rRNA
Rfam family: Bacterial small subunit ribosomal RNA
Source: RNAcentral
AGCUAGUUGGUGAGGUAACGGCUCACCAAGGCCACGAUGCAUAGCCGACCUGAGAGGGUGAUCGGCCACAUUGGGACUGAGACACGGCCCAAACUCCUACGGGAGGCAGCAGUAGGGAAUCUUCGGCAAUGGACGAAAGUCUGACCGAGCAACGCCGCGUGAGUGAAGAAGGUUUUCGGAUCGUAAAACUCUGUUGUUAGAGAAGAACAAGGAUGAGAGUAACUGUUCAUCCCUUGACGGUAUCUAACCAGAAAGCCACGGCUAACUACGUGCCAGCAGCCGCGGUAAUACGUAGGUGGCAAGCGUUGUCCGGAUUUAUUGGGC